AUGGACAUAGCAAAGCCAGCGGCAACUGCAUAUCUUAGGAGGUGGCACACUAGGUUGUGGUCUAGGAGUCAGUUCUCAACAAUUUCCAAGGUGGAUUAUGUUACAAACAACUUGGCUGAGUGCUUCAAUAAUUGGAUUAAGCAUCACAAGUCCUUGAACUUGGACGACUUCUUUCAUAAGGUUAGGCAAAUGAUUAUGAUCAUGUGGAACCGAAGGAGGAAAGUAGCAAGGAAGUUGGUUCGGUUGAUUCUUCCCCACAUAAUUAAGAAGUUGAAUGCAAAGACUAGAGAAUUAAACUUGGAGGUGGUAGAAUGUUCAGAAGAAGUCGCUGAAGUGACAGCAUUGGGAGGCAGCGGCUUUAGGUUUGUGGUCAACUUGCUUGACAGGACAUGUUCUUGUAGACAAUGGCAAGUUUCUGGCCUUCCUUGCAAGCAUGGUCUAGCAUUUAUCACAUCUCUUAUCAAUGCACACAUAGAGAAUUAUGUGGACUUGUAUUACUCCAUUGACAAAUUUAGGGAAGCCUAUUACCAACUAAUUCCUGCCAUGGUUGACAAGAACCAAUGGCCUAAAUCUGACCAUGGAUUCUUCAUGUUUCCACCACUACUAAAAUCCAUGGCGGGUAGGCAUAAAACUGAGAGGUAUAAAGGCUGCAGUGAGAAGAAAAGAAAAAGCGGCCAACACUUAUGCCCUAUUUGUAAGGACUAUGGGCAUCAUUGGCAUAAAUGCAAGAAGGUAACCCAGAUGACAUUGUUGCUAUUUUAG
This 762-nucleotide ribosomal RNA is filed under the name Triticum aestivum (bread wheat). RNAcentral describes it as "partial small subunit ribosomal RNA". The record is from RNAcentral. Lineage: Eukaryota; Viridiplantae; Streptophyta; Magnoliopsida; Poales; Poaceae.